GGUUGACCUCGGUACAGGUAGGAAGACCCGCUGAA
Molecule: ribosomal RNA, 35 nt
Filed under: Chaetomium globosum
Lineage: Eukaryota; Fungi; Ascomycota; Sordariomycetes; Sordariales; Chaetomiaceae
Description: partial 28S ribosomal RNA
Source: RNAcentral